Flavobacteriaceae bacterium CRH is the source of this 78-nucleotide non-coding RNA. The record is from Rfam. Lineage: Bacteria; Pseudomonadati; Bacteroidota; Flavobacteriia; Flavobacteriales; Flavobacteriaceae.
CCCUAGCCCCGAUAGCAGUAAAAAUACUUUUGUGCCUGUGUUCGGCACAAAAGAUUGCAACGGAUAGCGGGAAAAGCU